AUACGUAGGGGGCGAGCGUUGUCCGGAAUUAUUGGGCGUAAAGGGUGCGUAGGCGGCAUUUUAAGUCAUUUGUGAAAUUCUACGGCUUAACCGUAGACUUGCAGGUGAAACUGGGAUGCUUGAGUGCAGGAGAGGAGAACGGAAUUCCUGGUGUAGCGGUGAAAUGCGUAGAUAUCAGGAGGAACACCAGUGGCGAAGGCGGUUCUCUGGACUGUAACUGACGCUGAGGCACGAAAGCUGGGGUAGCGAACAGGAUUAGAUACCCUGGUAGUCCCAGCUGUAAACGAUGGAUACUAGGUGUAGGCAUCGGAGAUGUCUGUGCCGCAGUUAACGCAUUAAGUAUCCCGCCUGGGGAGUACGGUCGCAAGGCUGAA
Molecule: ribosomal RNA, 374 nt
Filed under: uncultured bacterium
Lineage: Bacteria
Description: bacterial SSU rRNA
Rfam family: Bacterial small subunit ribosomal RNA
Source: RNAcentral